UUUUCACUUGGGAAUUUAAGAGGCUGGAACAGUGCGACAGUAAGUCAGCGUUUAUGUUAAAUGGUGAAAGGAAAGAUGAAAGGAAGGAAGAAGGGAUGUUACUUACCUUUAACCUUCAUCUUGCUGUUCAUCUGUAUCACUGGGCAUGCAACUACUGACUUAGAUGAUGGUGAAGAGGAGGAUGUUCUGGGUGCUGGUUUGCCACCACUGAAACUAGGGCAUUCAGUCUGUGCCAUGAAAGCAGAUGAAGGUCCAUGCAAAGCAAUCCACAUGCGCUACUACUUCGAUAUUCAAAGCCGCGAGUGUGAAAUAUUUGAAUAUGGUGGAUGCCAUGGCAAUGAGAACAACUUUCUAACAUUGGAAGAAUGUCAGAAGAAGUGUGUGGUAACAGCAGACAACUUCAAGCAGAGCAUUAGCUGUACCACUCUACCCCUGCUCUCAGAUGCAAGAGAGUUGCCUCAGAAGAUGACAUUAGCAAAAAUUAAGAAAGAAAAGCCCAGCUUCUGCUUUCAUGAGAAAGACCCUGGAAUCUGCCGAGGCUAUUUUUCCAGGUAUUUCUAUAACAAAGAGACAAAGAUAUGUGAAGUAUUCAAGUAUGGUGGGUGUCUAGGAAACCAGAACAACUUCAAGAGUUUGGAAGAAUGCCAGACUACCUGCCAAGGCAACUCAAAUUUAUUGCCAAUUGUUCCAGCUGAAGAACAUCCUAACACUGUGAACAGUAGUUCCCCAGAGGAAGAACACAACCAGUUUCCUGGGAUUUUUGUCAAUUUGUUGCCAACUGCUCCAAAUGACAAGUCCAACACUCCGAACAGUAGUUCACCAAAGGAAGAGCGCAACCAGUUUCCCAUUUUUUUUGUUAUGCAAGAGGAAACAAGAAACAGUUGGGAAAAGCCUGAGCGUUCUUACCAAGUAUUUCUUUUGGUUUUUUUUUCAUUUACACUUACUUGUACUUUUGGGGUUUGAGUGAUGGCUUACAAAUUCAUUAAGGCUUUUGUGUUUAAUAUGAUCUGCAAGAUAAUGGGCAUGUAGGAUAACAUUCCUGUGCUCUUCGCUGAGAACGAUAUGUCUAAUAAAUCUUGAAUGUGUGUUGGCUCUAUUCUAUUUAUUUUUUUUUUUGCCUGCACUGUGAUCCACAUGCACUGUUGGGUUGAGGUAAGUUUCUGUGAGAGUUGGAUUGUUUGUUUACCACAUACAAAGCAUCAAUGCACUCUGUUAUAUAAAAUAACUGAAUAUAAAACAGUAAAGCUUUUGGCAACUUAUGUCACUGAAAAACAUUUGAAUGAUUUAAGGCCUGGUAAUAAGUCUAGGGACAUAAGAGUGUACACAUUACCUGAAGGUUUUACUCAUAGUAUGAAUCCCCUAAUCCCCAAAAUAACUAAUCUGUACAAGCAAAGGGGCAUGUUUCACUAUAUUUUCUCAGAGGAAACUGAAGGGUUCUUGGUUGUGUCAGCAAUAGCAAAUUUUCUGGUAGAGCUGAUUUUCGGAGAGAGAGGUGACGGUAAGAGAAAAAGAAGACUCAAAAGUUGGUGGAAGAAAGGGUUGGAGAACAAGGAUGGGUGGAAUCAGUGUAGCUGGAUGGCUCAGGUAAGAAAUGUGACCUUGGAAGUACCGAUGUGUUCAGUGGAAAGUCUGAAGACCCCACCAGUUCUUCCCUACUAUAUAACCUCUGUCUUGCACUAGGCUGCCCUGUGCAGCCACCUGCUGCCAUUCUGUUGAUCAGCCUGUACCUUUCAGGCUGCUGGGAUGGGCUAGAAUCCUGUGCUUUGUGCAAUCCCACUACAGGGGGAGGAAAGAGUAGGGCCAAAGCUGACAUCUGAUUUCUCCACAGAGAUGUGGAGAACAUAGCUUCCAUUCCUGCUAUUACUAGAGGUCAAGGUGUAAACUGAAAUGACAAGGUAGAGCCAUCUCAUACAAACAUGUGCUGUGACUCCCCAUGGCCCACUGUAAGGGACAAAAAUCUGUGCACAUAUGAGGUCAAGAUGGACUGUUUGGGAUGGGGUGGCUGAUGCCCGGCUUUCAAGCACAGGCAAAGUAGCUGUUUUGCCGCUCUAAUGCUAAUUUUACAAGUAUAUUGGCCUGGCUAUGUAACUUUUUUAUUAUUAUUUUUGAAUACGAGACCACCAUUAAAAAAAAAAAAGCACUUAUAGAAUACCUUACCUCACAAUUGAAAUGCUAUUUCAUCUUGAUUUCAAGAAAAAAUGCAUAUUAUUGGUGGUAUGUGUAGCUCUUUAAUGAUAUCAGAUUAAUAGAUUUCCAACAAAGUUCUUGACCUUCAGAAAAUUAAACUCUUCUACGGCCAAACAAAACAAACUCUUUUUUUCUGCAUAUAAACAUGAAACUUCCAGUGCUGUCUCAACAAUGAACUUUCUGCAGAGCGUGAAGGUUGUUCUGGUCUUAUUCUGCUGCAAGAUGCAAAAUAACUUUUAUUCUGCAAAAGUUAAGAGAAAGUGAAGCCAAGAAUCAAACUUUCAUUUUUAGGUUAUACAAAGUGAUCUAUGGUAGGAAAUAAUGAGUGCUAUACUCUACAUUUGAUUUGUGAGAUCUAAGUGGGGUGCAGGAUCAAAAGUCCGUUUUCAACUCAGCAAAUAUGGGAAGGUGCACAGAGACAGUUCCUGUUAUUAUUUCUUAAAGUCAGGGCUGUAUCUUUUGCUGAUAGAAAUUGACACAGUUCUAUUCACUAUAAUGGAUCUGCACCAUUUUAUACUGACAGAGUACUGUCAAGUGCAGAUGACUCAUUAUUUUUGUAAUAGCUUGUCUACUUGAAGACUCUCUUCUUUUCUCUUUGCUGCAACCAGAAAUGAGAUACUGAAGUCUGCAUAUAUCAAAAACCUGGCAAUAAAUCUGAAGCUUCAUGAAUGUCACACACCUGCGUCUAGUGAAAGAAUGCAGUAAGCAUUCUGUCAUCCAGCUCACCAAAAUCAUUUCAAGCUUCGUUUGUACUGUCAUAAUUAACAGUUCAUUAUCACACCACCCCAGCUAAAGCUGAGGGAUAAUUAUUAUUGUUGCAAUGCAAGGUUGGGAUUAUUUUUUAUAAAUAUGAUUCUAUACCUGAAUAUGCUUGUGUCAGAGAUUCUGAAGCAUGAUCAUGUCAUCUGUUCACACCACAGAGGGGGGUGACUGGAAUUCAAGAAAAUACCGUAUUAUAAGAAUUAAAUCUUAAACCAUACACAUUCAAAGAUUGUUUAGGUAGCAGUGAAGGCUAAGAACAGCCGCCUUUUUUAUCUACUGCAUAUUUCAUAUAAUUAGUUUACCUAAUUUUUCAGAAACAAAUUAUCAAAUAUUGCAGUUUUAGGUCUUAUUCUCUUACCAGAACAAAACCAGACCAAAUGCCUGCAUCAUCAAGAAAAAGAAGUAACAGAAAGAGAACAGAAAGAUCAAUGCUGUAGUUUGCUGUAGUUAAGCCUGAAACCCAUUUGAGAAGCUCCUGCAGAGCUAGUGGUGGGAGUUCCCCUUCUCAAGCUCCACUUGAGAUGAGUUUCAAGGUCUGAUUUCCUUCAAAAGUUUUUGAUGGAAUUAGCAUAUUUCUGAGGACUGGAACUUUGUAUUUUCAUUGUAUCAGCAUUUGCCAGAAGAAAACUUUACAACUGGAGAUGUGUAACUCAGCUUGGAAGCCUUCAUUUGUCCUUUGCCUGGAUGAGCUGUAAAUUCUUUUUUCCCAUACCUGUUCAUGACCUGACUUAUGUUGCAUAUUUUUGGCAAAUAAUACAGCAAAUCCAAGUCUAUGAGCUUGCUAUUAGAUAUUAAAAACCCGUUUAAAUCAGAUAUUUUGGAUAAACAAAAUAGCAUGAACACAUUAAUUUUUUGGUUCAUGUGAUCCACUUGAUGUUAACAUGUAAUGAGUUAUGUAAUGUAAUGAGUAAUGCUACUUGCACUGUGGAAAAAAAUGCUAACAUGUAAACUAAAUUGAGAAAAAAAUAGAGUGAAAAACAGCAUUUCUAUGUCAAGUAGUCUCUCAAUAAUUUGAUCUGUAAUUAAUAGACCUGUAAUGACUAGAUUAGGGGAAAAUAGUUCUGGUAGUGGGAUAUCUAUUGCUAUUUUUUUUCCUGUUGCUUUCAGUGUGUACUCCUUCCUCUCUGUGCAGUUUUGUGGAUUGUGGGAUUUUUUUCUUUCCUUUUUCCGUCACAGAAAAAGCAGGAGAUAAAACAUUUCAACGACUCAGAAAAAUGGGGUUGUAAAACCAAAACAUUUGAGAAAGAAACUCAAGAACAGGCAUAAUAUCUAAACUUACUAUCACAUCAUAUACAUAAGUGCAGUAUUAGAAGCUGGGGCUGAACAGAGAAAACUUAGGUGGACCAUUUAUUGCUCCUAGUGACUCUGUUAUCGUACUGGCUCACAGGCUUACAGGUUGUCCUGCCAGUAAAGAUAUUGGGCUGGGCAUGACACAGAACAUAUUUUAUGUUUACAGUAACUUGAAGUUAAAAAGCCUUUUAGUGGUCAGUAUAUUGAAAUUAAUUCAUAAUUUUUAUGAUCCUCAGCAAAUGGGAAAUAAUGAUAAGUCAUUUUAUUUUCAUUUUAAUAUACUGUUUUGUUUUAAAAAUGGCUCUUACGUAGCAAAAUUAAGAGGGUUUCUUCAUGGGCUGGUUCCUUCUGUGAGUGUAAAGAAUAUGCAAAUGUUUUGAAGAUGAACAGGAAUAGUGUUUGGUAUCUGGGCUAUUUAUCUAUCAAUGAUCUAGGCAAAGAACAAUAUAAUUUUAGAAAAAGUACAAGAGGGAUUCUGAAUAGCAUUUGGAUGCCACUCUGCCAGUUGCAUUAUGUGUACAUAGGUAGUCCUUAUUCACCAGUAACCACAUCACAGGCUCCAUGGCUCCUCUAAAGCUUAUGGUCAUUGUGAGAACUCCUUCAUGAGGGGACUCUGGAAUGUCUCUGGAAAAUUCUACAUACCAGAUAAGUAAUUUACAUUACAAAGUACAUGUUUAAAUGCUGUUAUAUAAUUAACAAGCCUAUGCUGUUUGGCCCUUUCAUCACUGGCAAGCCUUUCUGCUUUGUUCUUUUUAGGUUCAGAAAUUAUCAGGUUAAAGUAGGUAAGCAUAUUUUUUUAAUGUUGGUGAAGACUUGCUUUCAAAGCUAACAUCCUCUACAGCUUGGGAGAGAUGGAAUUAGUUCCAAGCACAAGAGUUUUAAGUUAGAGGGGUACCAAAAGCAUUGCAUUAAUUAAUUUAACUACCAUCCUCAUUAUAAAUAAAAAAGUAGAUUUAAUAUAAAUUGUAUCACAUUGUGGGCUCUUACUCUGGAUCCAGAGUGAACCUUACUCUUACAAUAAUGUCACAGUUAUAAAAAGAAAUUAAGUAGUGCUCAUUUUCUAACCUGAAACUAACUUAAUCUAUCUUGAUAAACCAACUCAUCACUCAAGGUUUUGCAUUUCGGGAUUCUUUUGAAGAGUAUGAUGUUGCUAACACGGCUUCAAAUAUAUUAUUAAUUUCAUUUUGCUGUCUUAGUUUUCCAUAAAUCACCAUUUUAUUUCUUUCCCAGCAAUUUUUCAUACUUUUUCACCCUGCCAGUUCAGCUGUUAUACUUGGCAGAUGAAGCUUUUUCAGCAGGCGUAAUAUGUGUAAGACAAGUAAGAUGUAGUGUGUUCUUUUUGGAUAUUUUCUUGUCAGCCUCUUGAAUUGCCCGAGUUAAUUCAUAACUUCUUGCUUUCAGCAACUCAUCUGCUUCCCACUUUUGUGACAACAGGCUGUCUUCAGCUCUGUUGUAACCCAAAUUGUUCCCUAAAAUUUUUACUUGGUUUUCCCUCUGAACCUCUUCUACCUGGCUUUGUAACUUCAAGAAGGCCAUCUGACUACCCUCACAUUUCCUUUUAAUGCAUUCAGAUCUCAGCUAUCUCAAUUCUGCUACCUCUUGAAGGAGAAGGGUGCUCCUUUGGGUUCUCAUAACUGAUGAUGUAAUGGCUCCCAUUCAGUUUCUUACAUCCUGUGCAGCAAUUGUGUCAGUUCUGUUUUUGUGUGAGAGUCACUCCAGGGUGAUAGAUGAUGAAGUUUCUCCAGGUUUGGGAAUUCUGGUACGGAUUUGCUUCUUGAACUUGUUCCAGUGCCCAGAUACUUCGGAUACCUCAGGUUCAUCUUCCAGUGUUUCAGUUCUCAUACUCUCACUUGCAGCGACACUGAAGAAAAAAACUAUCAGCCUACUCCUUGGAAUGAACCACCCCCUAUCCCUUCUUUGUGCAUGACCCCUAUGGACAGAGGACUUUGUAGAGCCAAAGAGUUAAGAUUUUUCUACAACUACUCAACUGGAAGAUGUCACCCAUUUAGCUACAGUGGUUGUGGUGGGAAUGAAAAUAAUUUCACCUCCAGAAAGUCAUGUUUGAGGAACUGCAAGAAAGG
This is a non-coding RNA of Phalacrocorax carbo (great cormorant), 6320 nucleotides long. The record is from RefSeq and is a predicted model, not a curated record. NCBI's taxonomy places the organism in Eukaryota, Metazoa, Chordata, Aves, Suliformes, Phalacrocoracidae.